Molecule: transfer RNA, 63 nt
Filed under: Melanostoma scalare
Lineage: Eukaryota; Metazoa; Arthropoda; Insecta; Diptera; Syrphidae
Also listed under: 3 other names
Description: tRNA-Arg
Source: RNAcentral
GAAUAUGAAACGAUUUAUUGUAAUUAGUUUCGACCUAAUUUUAGGUAUUUAUACCCUUAUUCU